GCUUUUUGGCGGGGUGCUAUACAUGCAGUCGAGCGAACUGAUUAGAAGCUUGCUUCUAUGACGUUAGCGGCGGACGGGUGAGUAACACGUGGGCAACCUGCCUGUAAGACUGGGAUAACUUCGGGAAACCGAAGCUAAUACCGGAUAACAUCAUUCCUUGCAUAAGGAAUGAUUGAAAGAUGGUUUCGGCUAUCACUUACAGAUGGGCCCGCGGUGCAUUAGCUAGUUGGUGAGGUAACGGCUCACCAAGGCAACGAUGCAUAGCCGACCUGAGAGGGUGAUCGGCCACACUGGGACUGAGACACGGCCCAGACUCCUACGGGAGGCAGCAGUAGGGAAUCUUCCGCAAUGGACGAAAGUCUGACGGAGCAACGCCGCGUGAGUGAUGAAGGCUUUCGGGUCGUAAAACUCUGUUGUUAGGGAAGAACAAGUAUGAGAGUAACUGCUCGUACCUUGACGGUACCUAACCAGAAAGCCACGGCUAACUACGUGCCAGCAGCCGCGGUAAUACGUAGGUGGCAAGCGUUAUCCGGAAUUAUUGGGCGUAAAGCGCGCGCAGGCGGUUUCUUAAGUCUGAUGUGAAAGCCCACGGCUCAACCGUGGAGGGUCAUUGGAAACUGGGGAACUUGAGUGCAGAAGAGAAAAGCGGAAUUCCACGUGUAGCGGUGAAAUGCGUAGAGAUGUGGGAGGAACACCAGUGGCGAAAGCGGCUUUUUGGUCUGUAACUGACGCUGAGGCGCGAAAGCGUGGGGAGCAAACAGGAUUAGAUACCCUGGUAGUCCACGCCGUAAACGAUGAGUGCUAGUGUUAGGAGGGUUCCGCCCUUAGUGCUGCAGCUAACGCAUAGCACUCCGCCUGGGGGAGUACGGUCGCAGGACUGAACUCAAAGAUUGACGGGGCCCGCCACAAGCGGUGGGAGCCAUGUAUUAUUCGAAGCAACGCGAGAACUUACAGUCUGGACAGUCUCUGAACACUCUGAGAAUAGAGCGUCCAUCCGGGGACAGAUUGACACGUGUGCAUGAUUGUCCUCACCUCCGGUCCUGAAUGUUAGUAGUCGCCACGAGCCAACCUGACUAAUUGCAGCAUUAUUGGGCAG
RNAcentral lists this ribosomal RNA (1096 nucleotides) under Bacillus sp. (in: firmicutes). RNAcentral describes it as "bacterial SSU rRNA". It matches the Rfam family "Bacterial small subunit ribosomal RNA", at positions 35 to 1130 of the family's 1533-position model. Lineage: Bacteria; Bacillati; Bacillota; Bacilli; Caryophanales; Bacillaceae. The record is from RNAcentral.